This 494-nucleotide ribosomal RNA is filed under the name uncultured bacterium. RNAcentral describes it as "partial 16S ribosomal RNA". It matches the Rfam family "Bacterial small subunit ribosomal RNA", at positions 28 to 507 of the family's 1533-position model. The record is from RNAcentral.
GACGAACGCUGGCGGCGUGCCUAAUACAUGCAAGUCGAACGGUUUAGUUCCAAGAGGCUUGCCUUUUGGAACUAGACAGUGGCGGACGGGUGAGUAACACGUAGGCAACCUACCUGUCAAACCGGGAUAACCUCGGGAAACCGAAGCUAAACCCGGAUAAGCUCCUUUUUCGCAUGAAGGGGGAGUGAAAAGGUGCGACCUGAUGACAGAUGGGCCUGCGGCGCAUUAGCUAGUAGGUAGGGUAACGGCCUACCUAGGCGAUUAUGCGUAGCCGACCUGAGGGUGACGACGGACUAGAUGCGACUGAGAAAAGGCCCAGAGUCCUACGGGAGGAAGCAGUAGAGAAUCGUCGGCUAUGGGUGGAAGCCUGACGGAGCAACGCCGCUUGAGUGAACACGGACUGCGGGUUGUAAUACUCUGUUGUUUAGGAAGGAGGGAAAGGGGAGGGUCCUUUGGUGAAGGUACCGAACUAGAUAGGCACGGCUAACUACGUG